RNAcentral lists this ribosomal RNA (1002 nucleotides) under uncultured bacterium. RNAcentral describes it as "bacterial SSU rRNA". It matches the Rfam family "Bacterial small subunit ribosomal RNA", at positions 355 to 1375 of the family's 1533-position model. The record is from RNAcentral.
UGGGGGAUAUUGCGCAAUGGGGGAAACCCUGACGCAGCAACGCCGCGUGAAGGAUGAAGGUCUUCGGAUUGUAAACUUCUUUUAUUAAGGACGAAGAAAGUGACGGUACUUAAUGAAUAAGCUCCGGCUAACUACGUGCCAGCAGCCGCGGUAAUACGUAGGGAGCAAGCGUUGUCCGGAUUUACUGGGUGUAAAGGGUGCGUAGGCGGCUUUGCAAGUCAGAUGUGAAAUCUAUGGGCUCAACCCAUAAACUGCAUUUGAAACUGUAGAGCUUGAGUGAAGUAGAGGCAGGCGGAAUUCCCCGUGUAGCGGUGAAAUGCGUAGAGAUGGGGAGGAACACCAGUGGCGAAGGCGGCCUGCUGGGCUUUAACUGACGCUGAGGCACGAAAGCGUGGGUAGCAAACAGGAUUAGAUACCCUGGUAGUCCACGCUGUAAACGAUGAUUACUAGGUGUGGGGGGUCUGACCCCUUCCGUGCCGGAGUUAACACAAUAAGUAAUCCACCUGGGGAGUACGGCCGCAAGGUUGAAACUCAAAGGAAUUGACGGGGGCCCGCACAAGCAGUGGAGUAUGUGGUUUAAUUCGAAGCAACGCGAAGAACCUUACCAGGUCUUGACAUCCAACUAACGAAGUAGAGAUACAUUAGGUGCCCUUCGGGGAAAGUUGAGACAGGUGGUGCAUGGUUGUCGUCAGCUCGUGUCGUGAGAUGUUGGGUUAAGUCCCGCAACGAGCGCAACCCUUGCUAUUAGUUGCUACGCAAGAGCACUCUAAUAGGACUGCCGUUGACAAAACGGAGGAAGGUGGGGACGACGUCAAAUCAUCAUGCCCCUUAUGACUUGGGCUACACACGUGCUACAAUGGCGUAAACAAAGGGAAGCGAACCUGUGAAGGUGGGCAAAUCCCAAAAAUAACGUCUCAGUUCGGAUUGUAGUCUGCAACUCGACUACAUGAAGCUGGAAUCGCUAGUAAUCGCAGAUCAGAAUGCUGCGGUGAAUACGUUCCC